This 69-nucleotide transfer RNA is filed under the name Bos taurus (domestic cattle). It matches the Rfam family "tRNA". From Rfam's summary of the family: Transfer RNA (tRNA) molecules are approximately 80 nucleotides in length. Their secondary structure includes four short double-helical elements and three loops (D, anti-codon, and T loops). RNAcentral also lists the same sequence under 2 other names. The record is from Rfam by way of RNAcentral. Lineage: Eukaryota; Metazoa; Chordata; Mammalia; Artiodactyla; Bovidae.
CCUGGUGGCUCAGAUGGUAAAGCAUCUGCCUACAAUGCAGGAAGCCUGGGUUCAAUCCCUUGGUCAGGA